AUGAGCAUACGUGAAGUUCAAAAGUUCUGGUUCAGGGAAGUAGACAUCCUGCAGUUUUUGGGAAUUAGUAGUUCACCUUUGCUAAGUGUAGCAAGUUCUCUAGUUGCAAAAAUUAAUUCACUUUGCAAAAACUCUGGAGGUCAACAAUUUCUUUUGUUUGUUGUAGAUGGAGAUGUGUGUAUGUAUACAUGUGUUUUGGAGAUAGGAGAACUUAUCUGGUGGUGUGUGUGUGUUGCUGCAUCCUCUUCCGGCCACUCUAAUUCACACCCUCAAUACAACUUUUGUAUGCCCUCGUGUUCACAAAUCUUGUAG
This 312-nucleotide ribosomal RNA is filed under the name Triticum aestivum (bread wheat). Its description in RNAcentral is "partial small subunit ribosomal RNA". Lineage: Eukaryota; Viridiplantae; Streptophyta; Magnoliopsida; Poales; Poaceae. The record is from RNAcentral.